UGGGGACAGAGAAAAAUCCCCCGUGGGGAAGGAGGGGAGAAGUCCACUGCAACAGACAACAGUGAUGGCUUACUCUCGGGGUUCAUCUGUUUACUGAAGUCUGAUGGGAAUCCCACCCCACUCAGACCCACACUGGGCAGCGCUAUGGGAAGGGGCUCCAUGAGAAGGAAGGAGACGCCGAGGAAGAGUGGGCGGCCAGCACCUGCAGACCCCGGUGGGAGAGACGGCCACGAAGCAGCCUGGCCAGGAUGUGCAGUGCGCUGCCCUUCCGAACACCGGUGUGCACAGCAGGCGGUUUAGGUGACUCUGCUUCCCGCCAAGGCAGAUUGCCACAUGCAGCGCCUCAUUUGGAUGUGUCUGGAAUCUUGACUACCCUACCUUCUCCUACAAAUGGACCUUGAGAGCUUGUUUGGAGGUUCUACCAGGGAAGCCCAGCUCUUCUAUUGGGUAUGGUCGUUCUCUUCGACUGAGCUGCAGCUUCGGGAGGGACGCACAUGAAGCAGUGAGGAAGGAAGGGGACACCCGCCUAGCCAGCCAGAUCAGCCGAAUCAACCCUGGCGAUCAAUGGGAUGACAGGUGUCGCAGCCAGAUCGCCCUCAUAUCCGGUAGUUCUACUUUUAACCUUUUGUGGAAUCUCCAUAGUUUUCUGCGGUGCUGCGCCAUUUACAUUCCCACCAACAGCGCACAGAGGUUUACACUUGUACAUGUUUCCAAUGACGAACUAAAAACUUUCAUGUUUUCAGAGGUUCAACAU
This 754-nucleotide long non-coding RNA is filed under the name Homo sapiens (human). Its description in RNAcentral is "non-protein coding lnc-ZC3H3-1:2". Lineage: Eukaryota; Metazoa; Chordata; Mammalia; Primates; Hominidae. The record is from RNAcentral.